CCUACGGGAGGCAGCAGUGGGGAAUAUUGCACAAUGGGCGAAAGCCUGAUGCAGCGACGCCGCGUGAAGGAAGAAGUACCUCGGCAUGUAAACUUCUAUCAGCAGGGAAGAAAAUGACGGUACCUGUCUAAGAAGCCGCGGCUAACGACGUGCCAGCAGCCGCGGUACUACGGAGGGGGCAGGCGUUAUCCGGAUUUACUGGGUGUAAAGGGAGCGUAGGCGGUUUAGCAAGUCAGAAGGGAAAGUCCGGGGCUCAACUCCGGGACUGCUGUUGAAACUGUUGAACUAGAGUGCGGGAGAGGUAAGUGGAAUUCCUGGUGUAGCGGUGAAAUGCGUAGAUAUUAGGAAGAACACCAGUGGCGAAGGCGGCUUACUGGAACGUAAAUGACGCUGAGGCUCGAAAGCGUGGGUAGCAAACAGGAUUAGAUACCCGAGUAGUC
RNAcentral lists this ribosomal RNA (440 nucleotides) under uncultured bacterium. Its description in RNAcentral is "partial 16S ribosomal RNA". It matches the Rfam family "Bacterial small subunit ribosomal RNA", at positions 338 to 795 of the family's 1533-position model. The record is from RNAcentral.